GACGAACGUUGGCGGCGUGCUUAACACAUGCAAGUCGAACGGAAAGGCCCUUCGGGGUACUCGAGUGGCGAACGGGUGAGUAACACGUGGGUGAUCUGCCCUGCACUUUGGGAUAAGCCUGGGAAACUGGGUCUAAUACCGAAUAUGACCACGCUCUUCAUGGGGUGUGGUGGAAAGCUUUUGCGGUGUGGGAUGGGCCCGCGGCCUAUCAGCUUGUUGGUGGGGUAAUGGCCUACCAAGGCGACGACGGGUAGCCGGCCUGAGAGGGUGACCGGCCACACUGGGACUGAGAUACGGCCCAGACUCCUACGGGAGGCAGCAGUGGGGAAUAUUGCACGAUGGGCGCAAGCCUGAUGCAGCGACGCCGCGUGAGGGAUGACGGCCUUCGGGUUGUAAACCUCUUUCACCAGGGACGAAGCGCAAGUGACGGUACCUGGAGAAGAAGCACCGGCCAACUACGUGCCAGCAGCCGCGGUAAUACGUAGGGUGCGAGCGUUGUCCGGAAUUACUGGGCGUAAAGAGCUCGUAGGUGGUUUGUCGCGUUGUUCGUGAAAACUCACAGCUUAACUGUGGGCGUGCGGGCGAUACGGGCAGACUAGAGUACUGCAGGGGAGACUGGAAUUCCUGGUGUAGCGGUGGAAUGCGCAGAUAUCAGGAGGAACACCGGUGGCGAAGGCGGGUCUCUGGGCAGUAACUGACGCUGAGGAGCGAAAGCGUGGGGAGCGAACAGGAUUAGAUACCCUGGUAGUCCACGCCGUAAACGGUGGGUACUAGGCGUGGGUUCCUUCCUUGGGAUCCGUGCCGUAGCUAACGCAUUAAGUACCCCGCCUGGGGAGUACGGCCGCAAGGCUAAAACUCAAAGGAAUUGACGGGGGCCCGCACAAGCGGCGGAGCAUGUGGAUUAAUUCGAUGCAACGCGAAGAACCUUACCUGGGUUUGACAUGCACAGGACGCUGGUAGAGAUAUCAGUUCCCUUGUGGCCUGUGUGCAGGUGGUGCAUGGCUGUCGUCAGCUCGUGUCGUGAGAUGUUGGGUUAAGUCCCGCAACGAGCGCAACCCCUAUCUUAUGUUGCCAGCGCGUUAUGGCGGGGACUCGUAAGAGACUGCCGGGGUCAACUCGGAGGAAGGUGGGGAUGACGUCAAGUCAUCAUGCCCCUUAUGUCCAGGGCUUCACGCAUGCUACAAUGGCCGGUACAAAGGGCUGCGAAUCCGCGAGGUGGAGCGAAUCCCUUGAAAGCCGGUCUCAGUUCGGAUCGGGGUCUGCAACUCGACCCCGUGAAGUUGGAGUCGCUAGUAAUCGCAGAUCAGCAACGCUGCGGUGAAUACGUUCCCGGGCCU
This 1337-nucleotide ribosomal RNA is filed under the name uncultured bacterium. RNAcentral describes it as "bacterial SSU rRNA". It matches the Rfam family "Bacterial small subunit ribosomal RNA", at positions 28 to 1381 of the family's 1533-position model. The record is from RNAcentral.